GUUUAAGGGUGGAGUCAUGUUCAUACUUCCCAUUUUUUCCAAUAAACAAAUGUGUCACAAGGUCAUAGAUUUAGAACUAGAAUUGACCUCAGAGACCAGAAUUCAACCUGCUCAUUUACAGAUGAGGAAACUGAGGACCAGAGGGGUUAAGUGAUUUGCCUGAUGUCACCCAGGCAGUAAGUGUGAGAGGCAGGAUUUGAAAUGAGAUCUUCAGAGCUCUUUCCAUUGGACUACACUGCCUGAAGCGUGAACUGCUAGAGAGCCUAUAUUGACAGCAUCUACUCAGGGAGCCCAGAGCCCUGUCUGACUAAAAGAACAGAUGGACAUUGAAGCUACUGAUUCCAUUGCAGAUGACCAGCAAUUCUUCGGGUACCGAGAAAACCUGGUCUUGUGUUUCCUGUUGUGGACGUGCUCUGCCUGAAGGCAAGGGUCAAGGUGCUCACUGUCCCCUGAGAUCCCUGAGAAGGCCUCACAUCCCAACCUACAAGUCCCAGAGCCUCAUCAGUCCAAGCAGAACUCCAGGCCUUCAGUUUUCUCAUCGGCCUCUUCUCCAAGGCAAAGAUGCGAUUACACCCUGGGAUACAGCUAAUGGUCCAUGGAGCCCUCAUCUUCCUGUCCUUGGUUUUGGUCAUAUCCCUCGUGAUUGUGGCCACUCAAUGUGAGUAAUUUCAAGAGUUCCUAGCUAUGGUUCUAUAGGGCUUGCUCUAUCUCAAAUUGGUGGGGAGUUCUGCUUCUCCCUGGGGGAUAGGGGUGUCACUGUGGUAGCAGAAAUGGUCAGGGACGUGCAGAACACAGAAGAGUUAGAAGAGGUCCUAGGAGGAGCUUGGAACUUGACCUGGGCCUUGGUUGGGCAUCAUUCUUUUUUUUUUUUUU
Molecule: long non-coding RNA, 873 nt
Filed under: Vombatus ursinus (common wombat)
Lineage: Eukaryota; Metazoa; Chordata; Mammalia; Diprotodontia; Vombatidae
Description: lncRNA (ENSVURG00010020421.1)
Source: RNAcentral